CCCUUUAGACGGGGACAACAUUCCGAAAGGGAUGCUAAUACCGGAUGUGACGCUCCUAUCGCAUGACGGGAGCGUGAAAGAUGGCUCUACAUGUAAGCUAUCGCUAAAGGAUGGGCCUGCGUCUGAUUAGCUAGUUGGUAGUGUAACGGACAACCAAGGCGAUGAUCAGUAGCCGGUCUGAGAGGAUGAACGGCCACAUUGGGACUGAGACACGGCCCAG
RNAcentral lists this ribosomal RNA (220 nucleotides) under uncultured bacterium. Its description in RNAcentral is "partial 16S ribosomal RNA". It matches the Rfam family "Bacterial small subunit ribosomal RNA", at positions 129 to 334 of the family's 1533-position model. The record is from RNAcentral.